Molecule: ribosomal RNA, 460 nt
Filed under: uncultured bacterium
Lineage: Bacteria
Description: partial 16S ribosomal RNA
Rfam family: Bacterial small subunit ribosomal RNA
Source: RNAcentral
CCUACGGGUGGCAGCAGUGAGGAAUAUUGGUCAAUGGGCGGAAGCCUGAACCAGCCAAGUAGCGUGCAGGAUGACGGUCCUACGGGUUGUAAACUGCUUUUAUACGGGAAUAACGCGCCUUACGUGUAGGGCUUUGCAUGUACCGUAUGAAUAAGGACCGGCUAAUUCCGUGCCAGCAGCCGCGGUAAUACGGAGGGUACGGGCGUUAUCCGGAUUUAUUGGGUUUAAAGGGAGCGUAGGCCGCAGGUCAAGUCUGCUGUGAAAUGUCCGGGCUCAACCCGGGCCUUGCAGCGCGAACUGGCGGGCUUGAGUCCGCGGAAGGCAGGCGGAAUUCGUCGUGUAGCGGUGAAAUGCUUAGAUAUGACGAAGAACCCCGAUUGCGAAGGCAGCUUGCUGCAGCGGAACUGACGCUGAGGCUCGAAAGCGCGGGUAGCGAACAGGAUUAGAUACCCGAGUAGUC